Molecule: ribosomal RNA, 253 nt
Filed under: uncultured bacterium
Lineage: Bacteria
Description: partial 16S ribosomal RNA
Rfam family: Bacterial small subunit ribosomal RNA
Source: RNAcentral
UACAGAGGUGGCAAGCGUUAUUCGGAAUUAUUGGGCGUAAAGGGCGCGUAGGCGGCCUGACAAGUGGAAGGUGAAAUCCCUCGGCUUAACCGAGGAACUGCCCUCCAAACUGUCUGGCUUGAGACCGGGAGAGGUGAGUGGAAUUCCCAGUGUAGCGGUGAAAUGCGUAGAUAUUGGGAGGAACACCAGUGGCGAAGGCGGCUCACUGGACCGGUACUGACGCUGAGGCGCGAAAGCGUGGGGAGCAAACGGG